This 496-nucleotide ribosomal RNA is filed under the name uncultured bacterium. Its description in RNAcentral is "partial 16S ribosomal RNA". It matches the Rfam family "Bacterial small subunit ribosomal RNA", at positions 28 to 507 of the family's 1533-position model. The record is from RNAcentral.
GACGAACGCUGGCGGCGUGCCUAAUACAUGCAAGUAGAACGCUGAAGCGAGGAGCUUGCUCUUCUUGGAUGAGUUGCGAACGGGUGAGUAACGCGUAGGUAACCUGCCUUGUAGCGGGGAUAACUAUUGGAAACGAUAGCUAAUACCGCAUAACAAUGGAUGACACAUGUCAUUUAUUUGAAAGGGGCAAUUGCUCCACUACAAGAUGGACCUGCGUUGUAUUAGCUAGUAGGUGAGGUAAUGGCUCACCUAGGCGACGAUACAUAGCCGACCUGAGAGGGUGAUCGGCCACACUGGGACUGAGACACGGCCCAGACUCCUACGGGAGGCAGCAGUAGGGAAUCUUCGGCAAUGGGGGCAACCCCGACCGAGCAACGCCGCGUGAGUGAAGAAGGGUUUCGGAUCGUAAAGCUCUGUUGUAAGUCAAGAACGGGUGUGAGAGUGGAAAGUUCACACUGUGACGGUAGCUUACCAGAAAGGGACGGCUAACUACGUG